CCUACGGGAGGCAGCAGUGAGGAAUAUUGGUCAAUGGCCGGAAGGCUGAACCAGCCAAGCCGCGUGAAGGACGAAGGUGCCAAGCAUUGUAAACUUCUUUUGUCAAGGGACAAAAUCAGGCUCGAGAGCCUGACCGAGGGUACUUGAAGAAAAAGCAUAGGCUAACUCCGUGCCAGCCGCCGCGGUAAAUCGGAGGAUGCGAGCGUUAACCGGAUUUAUUGGGGUUAAAGGGUGCGUAGGGGGGCGGUUAAAGCAGCGGUAAAAGCCCGGGGCUCAACCCCGGCGAGCCGUUGAAACUGGCUGUCUUGAGAUGUCGAGAGGUAUGCGGAAUGCGCAGUGUAGCGGUGAAAUGCUUAGAUAUUGCGCAGAACUCCGAUUGCGAAGGCAGCAUACCGGCGGCGAUCUGACGCUGAGGCACGAAAGCGUGGGUAUCGAACAGGAUUAGAUACCCCAGUAGUC
Molecule: ribosomal RNA, 459 nt
Filed under: uncultured bacterium
Lineage: Bacteria
Description: partial 16S ribosomal RNA
Rfam family: Bacterial small subunit ribosomal RNA
Source: RNAcentral